RNAcentral lists this ribosomal RNA (253 nucleotides) under uncultured bacterium. Its description in RNAcentral is "partial 16S ribosomal RNA". It matches the Rfam family "Bacterial small subunit ribosomal RNA", at positions 524 to 776 of the family's 1533-position model. The record is from RNAcentral.
UACGUAGGGUGCAAGCGUUAAUCGGAAUUACUGGGCGUAAAGCGUGCGCAGGCGGUUCUAUAAGACAGAUGUGAAAUCCCCGGGCUCAACCUGGGAACUGCAUUUGUGACUGUAGAGCUGGAGUACGGUAGAGGGAGAUGGAAUUCCGCGUGUAGCAGUGAAAUGCGUAGAUAUGCGGAGGAACACCGAUGGCGAAGGCAGCUCGCUGGAACGGUACUGACGCUGAGGCGCGAAAGCGUGGGGAGCAAACAGG